This 503-nucleotide ribosomal RNA is filed under the name uncultured bacterium. RNAcentral describes it as "partial 16S ribosomal RNA". It matches the Rfam family "Bacterial small subunit ribosomal RNA", at positions 29 to 523 of the family's 1533-position model. The record is from RNAcentral.
AACGAACGCUGGCGGCGUGUUUAAGACAUGCAUGUCGCACGGGAUCAGACAUGUAGUAAUACUUGUUUUAUUUAGUGGCGCACGGGUGAGUAACACGUGAAUUACAUGCCUUAUAGUGGGUAAUAGCCCAGGGCAACUUGGAUUAAUACCACAUGGUAUCGAAAGAUUAAAGGUGGACGCAAGGCUGUCGCCAUAGGAUUGGUUCGCGCCCUAUCGGCUUGUUGGUGAGGUACCGGCUCACCAAGGCAAUGACGUGUACCUAGUCUGAGAGGACGAUCAGGCACACUGUAACUGAGACACGUUCCAGACACCUACGGGUGGCAGCAAUCGAGAAUAAUUCACAGUGGGGGCAACCCUGAUGGUGCAACGCCGCGUGAAGGAUGACGGUCUUCGGAUUGUAAACUCCUAUCAUCUGGGUGAAAGACCUGACGGUAAAUAGCCGUCAGGGUUGAUAGUUCCAGAAGAGGAAGGGACGGCUAACUUCGUGCCAGCAGCCGCCGUAA